UUGAACUGAAGAGUUUGAUCCUGGCUCAGAUUGAACGCUGGCGGCAUGCCUUACACAUGCAAGUCGAACGGCAGCACGGGUGCUUGCACCUGGUGGCGAGUGGCGAACGGGUGAGUAAUACAUCGGAACAUGUCCUGUAGUGGGG
RNAcentral lists this ribosomal RNA (145 nucleotides) under Burkholderia cenocepacia. RNAcentral describes it as "partial 16S ribosomal RNA". It matches the Rfam family "Bacterial small subunit ribosomal RNA", at positions 1 to 141 of the family's 1533-position model. The record is from RNAcentral. Lineage: Bacteria; Pseudomonadati; Pseudomonadota; Betaproteobacteria; Burkholderiales; Burkholderiaceae.